Molecule: long non-coding RNA, 2443 nt
Organism: Ictalurus punctatus (channel catfish)
Lineage: Eukaryota; Metazoa; Chordata; Actinopteri; Siluriformes; Ictaluridae
Source: Ensembl
UUUAUUUAUUUGUUUAUUGGGUGGGGGGGGUGGGGGGUGGGAUGGGCUAAAAAUAAAAUCUCGUCUCCUUCGGGCAAGUUAUUACUAUUUUCUUCACUCGAUUACGAACCUUUUAUUUACGCUCACACACCUGUCCAGAUUGGGAACUGCGUAGAUACUGUCUGUGCUAAAUUCAUUUGGGGGGUGGGGGGCUAGUUCUAUCUUUCUCUCAAUCCCUUUUCACUCAGCUUUGUGCCAUUCAAGUGCACUGAAUAAGAAAUGGAUCACUGCGAACGGCCACAGUCUCCGGCUCAGACAUGACAUCAUCGCUUUUAUGGCUCACCCGGUGAGGGACUGUGUGGGGGAGAAAGCUCCUUAGUGCCAUUUCACUGAUAACAAAACCUGUGUGUGUGUGUGUGUGUGUGUGAGAGAGAGAGUGCGAGAGUGUGUGUGUGUGUGUGAUAGAGAGAGAGAGGGGCAAAAAUUCAGACAGAGCACCUCAAUGGUACACAAUGGACAAGUGUAGGAGAUCUGUCAUUGAAACAGUGUCGUAUUGUGCCUGAGACACAGUAAUGGGACGGAUUUAUUUAUUUAUUUAUUUAUGUAAAAGGAGUACAAAGGAAAGGUGAAUUAUAUGACAGUUAAUUAAACAUUUGAUUUUAAUUAAGUGUUCUUGUCUUGCUAAAUGAACAAAAAAAACCCAAACAACCCAAUAAUAAUAAUAAUAAUAAUAAUAAUAAUGAUAAUGAACAGUAAACGUGAUCUAACGACAUACUGCAGACGAAGAAUGACAAAAUUUGAACAGACACAAUUAAGGUGUCUAAUCUAUCUUAACGACGACUGUCUUAUCUUUAACACACUUAUCAUAACAAUAACAGCCUCUCAAAUGACGUGUGUGUCUGACGCAGCAGCGUCUGUACAACCUCACACACGAACGGUAUAUUUGGAUAAUGUUUAGAGUGCCAAAACUUUUUUUUAAAAAAAAAAAAAGGAAAUAAAUUAACAUUACGACGGUUUACUAGCAACUUCUCCGAAUUUCACAGUCAGAAAAGUCAGAAUUUUUUGAAUAGACAGCUUUCGGAUAAAAUCAUAUAAAUGUAUAUAAUCGCACAUACGUAUUUCACACACAAAAAAAUCUUCUUAUAUAAAGAAAUAAAAUAAAUAAAAGGCCACCACGCUAUGUCUACUUUCACGUCUCGAAAAGUUCUCACGUAAAAAAAAGCCGAGAAACGAUCCUGCUUUUUAAGACUGUCGAGAUCAGUUCCUCGUGAGGAAACGUAAUACCUGGGGAAACACGUCGUAUGAGGUGUUGGGUGGGGUGAUGUGGGGCGAUGUAGGGUGGGGACGGGGUUUCUGUUCCUCGACAUGCCACCAGACACCUGGAAGCUAACAGCUCAUAAAACACUGUGGCUAAUUGUGGUUUUCCUUCUUUUCCCUGCAAAUGGCAGCACGACACAUUUACGGCCCGAGAGGCAGUUACAAACGCUCUGCACCUUGCGUGACGCCUGUUGGGGUGGAGGGUCGAGCGAAAACCCCACUUCCACCUGACUAUCCGUUAGAUCACGGACGCACACGCACGUAUGAAAAAUAACACGGCCCCUUUCCUCCAAAGGUCUCGAAAUAUAUCUUAACUAGAGCAGUCCUCAUUAGGGUCGGUGUGGAGAGCACGGCACAUCUCAAAGGAAGGAAGCUGUGUGAGAAUGUGUGUGUGUGUGUGUGUGUAUAGUGAGGAUUAUUAGUUGGGAUACAGCAGUCACGUGACUAACUUGUGGCAGUACUUGCCUCAGAAUUACUUCACACAACUUCUUCUUAUAAACCGAGAAUUUUCAUAAAUACUCCGACUAAAAUAAGUUAAUAUUUGAUGGUUAACACUGAAAUAAAGCAGUAACACCUAGGAGAAAGGCUUUAAGGCUAAAAUAAAUAAAUAAAAACAACAAGCAAAUAAACACACAAAAAACAUGGUGCAGCUAUAAUUUUGGUUCUGAAAUGCAGUGUAAAUACAAUAAAGGUCCAGCUAGCAAAAGUUUUCUAAUAAUGUGUGUGGGCAUAAACACUUUAGGGGGAAUAAAGGAAAAUCAGUCACAGGGUGAUGUGAUGUGAUGUGAUUAUACCACACUAUGUAAACAAGCAUAAUUUUUUUUUUAAUGAUUAAUUCACUUCAUGCUUUUUAACCAUUUAUAUUGUCACAGAAGUUAGCUCUUGUCAUGACUUACGUAAUGGCAAAUUCAAACAACCAUCCCUUUGUCGGCUUCUCAUUUGACCGUCUUGACGUUAAUACAAAACGCAACUUGUAACUCACAUUACCAAGAAACUGGAAAGCGGUUGACGUGAUCUCCUCUGCCCUGAAGACGUUCCCACGGUGGGAAAAAAAAAAAGUACCUUAGGGUUACAAGGUGCUGACACUGGAGACUCCUUCGAAAACAUGUUGAAUAAACAUCUCCUUACAGAAACGUUCACCCGAUCG